This is a non-coding RNA of Arachis ipaensis, 1631 nucleotides long. The record is from RefSeq and is a predicted model, not a curated record. Lineage: Eukaryota; Viridiplantae; Streptophyta; Magnoliopsida; Fabales; Fabaceae.
CAAACCCUAACCCUAAUCCCCCACACCCCUAAUUUCCCAAAAUACAAACCCUCAAACGACCCUCCUCUCUUCACGGUAACACACGCACACACCCACGAAAGCGCAGAGAGAGAGAGAGGGAAAACGGAGAAGGGAAGAGAGGGAAGAGGAAGCAGACGGCGCCGACGGAACUGGCAGCCGCCGUCGCAGUCGAUGCUCGGAUCGAGAAGGAAGCUCGCGACAGAGAUGAGAGGGACCGUCGCCAUCACCGCUGGUGUGGUCGGAGUCACCGUCGUCGUCGAUUGAAGGUGCCGCCGUCGUAGUGGAAGAAACCCAGAGAAAGAGAUGAACAAGGCCCGAAGAGAGUGAGCCUCGCUCCUCCGCCGUUUCUGCUCAGCGUCACUGCCACCGGAGUUCGUCUCUGCCGCCGCCAUUGGAGAUGAACCCAGUUGUUCUCUUACUGCCGGAGGAUCAAUUGAAUUGGAAGCCAGCUUAAAGGAUGAAAGUGUGAACAAAGAUGAAAAAAGCUUUACUAACCAGCAAUGGGACCAAACUUUAGUUACAAAGAAAAGGAUGCCACCAACAUUAAAAGGUUUCUACGACCUUCAACCUGAUGAUGAAGUAGUUAAAAAAAGUAGAGGAGGCCGAGGCCGCGACCAUGACCCUGGCAGAUUAGAUGACACUUGGACCUCAUCAAUGGAAGCAGAAGUUCAAAUUGUCCAUGGAAUCUCAAAGAACCCUUUCAGCCACAUAACUAGCAAGGGAAAAGAUAGAGAUUUGGAGGAUUUCACCUGCAAGAGUUGCUUGAAUUGACCGAAAACUUCUCAGAGGACAAAAAGAUUGGGAGAGGAGGCUUUGGAUCAGUAUACCAUGCUACUCUGCAAGAUGAUCUUUAAUGGUGUAAUCCUCAAGGUAAAGCAACCAUGAAUAUGCUGCACAGGGUAGAGCCGUAUGUUAUGUACGAGUAUGCAAAUUUCACAUAUUCAGAGACCACAUCAUCUUGAGUCGUUUACCUGCACAAUGCCUUAAUGACAUAUCAUCUUAAGAAUUCAAGUCACCAAAUAAAAAAAUCUAUUUGAAUUGUAUGGCUGCUAAAAUUAAGAGUAGGCUGCUGAAUAUAAAUUGAAAUGAUUUAGCAUUUAAAAUUACAAAACAUGCUUUAAUAAUUUCUUUGCAGCUUGAACAAAGUAAAUUUGAGGAGAAGAAGAAACUUGAAAAUUAGGAUUUUUUCAGAAUCCAGAUCUGUGAAUUGGAAGAAUAAGGAGCAUACUUACUUAAGUUUUGUCGAUUGCCAAUCUAGAGCUUUUUAGGAAUUAAGAGCUGCAAUGAAGUCUGUCAAAAAUGAAGUUUUAAAAACAAAAAGAAGCUACUCAGAGAAUUUCAAGUACUUUGCAGGUGUUGAGCUUUCAAAUGUUUAAGUGGCUGAAACAAAAGUUUUCGAGCGUUGAGAAGAAAGAAUAGCAAUACCAGAAACAAUUUAUUCUGGUAGAAUCUAAAUUGUAUUGCUCUCACGUCUGUGGAACAAUUUUGUUAAUAGUGUCUACUUAGUGUUAGUGUAUAUAUCACUGUAUAAAACUAAGAUUGAGACAAGUGUAUUCACUCAACUAUAUUGAUAUCAACUAUAUUGAUAUGUUAGUCGGUUAUUUUAAUCA